GACGCACAUUGCACUAGAAGUAUUCCUUUUAGUAUGCUUGUCUGAGUGUCCUUUUCUUUAUUUCGAUCUUAUGAUUCUUUAUAUUUUCAAAUCAUUUGAUGUUGAUAUUCAUAUUUCUUUAUGAUUAUUCAAAAUUAUUAUCAAUUCGUUAAUAUCGUUUUUAUUCUUGUUGAAUCAAUCUCUAUUUAUCUUCUUUAUUUCUGAUAUUAUCGAUUAUCAAAAAGAUUACUAUAUUAUAACUACAAAGACCUCAGAUCAAGUAGCAUUACCCGCUGAAUUUAA
Molecule: unclassified non-coding RNA, 282 nt
Filed under: uncultured soil eukaryote
Lineage: Eukaryota
Description: sequence contains 5.8S rRNA gene, ITS2, 28S rRNA gene
Source: RNAcentral